GAUGAACGCUGGCGGCGUGGAUAAGGCAUGCAAGUCGAACGGCAGCACGGGAGCAAUCCUGGUGGCGAGUGGCGAACGGGUGAGUAAAGCAUCGGAACGUGCCCAGUCGUUGGGGAUAACGUAGCGAAAGCUACGCUAAUACCGCAUACGAUCUAUGGAUGAAAGCGGGGGACCGUAAGGCCUCGCGCGAUUGGAGCGGCCGAUGUCAGAUUAGGUAGUUGGUGAGGUAAAGGCUCACCAAGCCGACGAUCUGUAGCUGGUCUGAGAGGACGACCAGCCACACUGGGACUGAGACACGGCCCAGACUCCUACGGGAGGCAGCAGUGGGGAAUAUUGGACAAUGGGCGAAAGCCUGAUCCAGCCAUGCCGCGUGUGUGAAGAAGGUCUUCGGAUUGUAAAGCACUUUAAGUUGGGAGGAAGGGUUGUUAGCUAAUAUCUAGCAGUCUUGACGUUACCAACAGAAUAAGCACCGGCUAACUCUGUGCCAGCCGCCGCCGUAA
This 500-nucleotide ribosomal RNA is filed under the name uncultured bacterium. RNAcentral describes it as "partial 16S ribosomal RNA". It matches the Rfam family "Bacterial small subunit ribosomal RNA", at positions 28 to 523 of the family's 1533-position model. The record is from RNAcentral.